This 492-nucleotide ribosomal RNA is filed under the name uncultured bacterium. RNAcentral describes it as "partial 16S ribosomal RNA". It matches the Rfam family "Bacterial small subunit ribosomal RNA", at positions 29 to 507 of the family's 1533-position model. The record is from RNAcentral.
AGUGAACGCUGGCGGCAGGCCUAACACAUGCAAGUCGAACGGCAGCACAGUAAGAGCUUGCUCUUACGGGUGGCGAGUGGCGGACGGGUGAGGUAUACAUCGGAAUCUACUUUUUCGUGGGGGAUAACGUAGGGAAACUUACGCUAAUACCGCAUACGACCUACGGGUGAAAGCAGGGGAUCUUCGGACUUUGCGCGAUUGAAUGAGCCGAUGUCGGAUUAGCUAGUUGGCGGGGUAAAGGCCCACCAAGGCGACGAUCCGUAGCUGGUCUGAGAGGAUGAUCAGCCACACUGGAACUGAGACACGGUCCAGACUCCUACGGGAGGCAGCAGUGGGGAAUAUUGGACAAUGGGGGAAAGCCUGAUCCAGCCAUACCGCGUGGGUGAAGAAGGCCUUCGGGUUGUAAAGCCCUUUUGUUGGGAAAGAAAAGCAGCAGGUUAAUACGCCGCUAUUCUGACGGUACCCAAAGAAUAAGCACCGGCUAACUUCGUG